Molecule: ribosomal RNA, 305 nt
Filed under: uncultured bacterium
Lineage: Bacteria
Description: partial 16S ribosomal RNA
Rfam family: Bacterial small subunit ribosomal RNA
Source: RNAcentral
ACAGCAGCCGCCGCGGUAAUACAGAGGGUGCGAGCGUUAAUCGGAUUUACUGGGCGUAAAGCGUGCGUAGGCGGCUUCUUAAGUCGGAUGUGAAAUCCCUGAGCUUAACUUAGGAAUUGCAUUCGAUACUGGGAAGCUAGAGUAUGGGAGAGGAUGGUAGAAUUCCAGGUGUAGCGGUGAAAUGCGUAGAGAUCUGGAGGAAUACCUAUGGCGAAGGCAGCCAUCUGGCCUAAUACUGACGCUGAGGUACGAAAGCAUGGGGAGCAAACAGGAUUAGAUACCCCCGUAGUCCCUGUCUCUUAUAC